Molecule: ribosomal RNA, 459 nt
Filed under: uncultured bacterium
Lineage: Bacteria
Description: partial 16S ribosomal RNA
Rfam family: Bacterial small subunit ribosomal RNA
Source: RNAcentral
CUACGGGAUGCACCAGUAAGGAAUAUUGCGCAAUGGAGGCAACUCUGACGCAGCCAUGCCGCGUGCAGGAAGAAGGCCUUAUGGGUCGUAAACUGCUUUUAUUUAGGAAUAAACCCCCGAACGUGUUCGGGGCUGAAGGUACUAAACGAAUAAGCACCGGCUAACUCCGUGCCAGCAGCCGCGGUAAUACGGAGGGUGCAAGCGUUAUCCGGAUUUAUUGGGUUUAAAGGGUGCGCAGGCGGGCUAUUAAGUCAGUGGUGAAAUCCCGGGGCUCAACUCCGGAACUGCCAUUGAUACUGAUAGUCUUGAGUUUGGUUGCAGUGGGCGGAAUGUAGCAUGUAGCGGUGAAAUGCAUAGAUAUGCUACAGAACACCAAUCGCGAAGGCAGCUCACUAAGCCAAAACUGACGCUCAUGCACGAAAGCGUGGGGAUCAAACAGGAUUCGAUACCCGGGUAGUC